GAAAAAAAGGAAAAAAAAAAAGAAAAAAAAUCACAUAGAUUACAUCACUUGCACUUUUAGGAGAGUCUAGAGCAUAUAGGUUGCAUUCACUUGCAUUGGGAGCAAUGAUUUAAAAUGCCUCGUAAAGAACACUACUUCGCGCUUGAAUAGUUAUUGCAUCUCUCAAAAAAGCCUUGUAUGUUUCGAGCCUUGAAAACUCUUCCUGAAUCUCAUUAAUUGCUGAAACUCAAUCUUUGAAGCCAACUUCAACCUUAUUUGAACUGAACGAACUUAAUGCUUCUUGCUGAUGGUCCCUUGUGUACUGAAUCAUGGCUAUACACACUUGAGUUUUCACAUCCUUUAAACCAAUCUUUUUGACAAACUCAAGUGGUAGACCACCCCCAAAACCCUUCCUUCUUUUUAAGCUUUCAUUGUUUGAUGAGUGAGGCC
This 429-nucleotide long non-coding RNA is filed under the name Brassica napus (rape). RNAcentral describes it as "long non-coding RNA (BNAP_LNC010942)". Lineage: Eukaryota; Viridiplantae; Streptophyta; Magnoliopsida; Brassicales; Brassicaceae. The record is from RNAcentral.